UUGAACGCUGGCGGUAUGCUUUACACGUGCAAGUCGAACGGCAGCACGGGGCAACCUGGUGGCGAGUGGCGAACGGGUGAGUAACAUAUCGGAACAUAUCCGGAAGUGGGGGAUAACGUAGCGAAAGUUACGCUAAUACCGCAUAUGCCCCGAGGGGGAAAGGGGGGGAUCGCAAGACCUCUCGCUUUCGGAGUGGCCGAUAUCGGAUUAGCUAGAUGGUGAGGUAAAGGCUCACCAUGGCGACGAUCCGUAGCUGGUCUGAGAGGACGACCAGCCACACUGGAACUGAGACACGGUCCAGACUCCUACGGGAGGCAGCAGUGGGGAAUUUUGGACAAUGGGCGCAAGCCUGAUCCAGCCAUACCGCGUGAGUGAGGAAGGCCUUCGGGUUGUAAAGCUCUUUCAGACGGAAAGAAAUCGGGCGCGUGAAUAGCGUGCCUGGAUGACGGUACUGUCAGAAGAAGCACCGGCUAACUACGU
RNAcentral lists this ribosomal RNA (480 nucleotides) under uncultured bacterium. Its description in RNAcentral is "bacterial SSU rRNA". It matches the Rfam family "Bacterial small subunit ribosomal RNA", at positions 29 to 506 of the family's 1533-position model. The record is from RNAcentral.